CCUACGGGUGGCAGCAGUGGGGAAUAUUGGGCAAUGGGCGCAAGCCUGACCCAGCAACGCCGCGUGAAGGAAGAAGGCUUUCGGGUUGUACACUUCUUUUGACAGGGAAGAGUAGAAGACGGUACCUGACGAAUAAGCCACGGCUAACUACGUGCCAGCAGCCGCGGUAAUACGUAGGUGGCAAGCGUUGUCCGGAUUUACUGGGUGUAAAGGGCGUGUAGCCGGGUUGACAAGUCAGAUGUGAAAUCCUGCGGCUUAACCGCAGAACUGCAUUUGAAACUGUUGAUCUUGAGUACUGGAGAGGCAGACGGAAUUCCUAGUGUAGCGGUGAAAUGCGUAGAUAUUAGGAGGAACACCAGUGGCGAAGGCGGUCUGCUGGACAGCAACUGACGGUGAGGCGCGAAAGCGUGGGGAGAAAACAGGAGUAGAUACCCCAGUAGUC
RNAcentral lists this ribosomal RNA (442 nucleotides) under uncultured bacterium. RNAcentral describes it as "partial 16S ribosomal RNA". It matches the Rfam family "Bacterial small subunit ribosomal RNA", at positions 338 to 795 of the family's 1533-position model. The record is from RNAcentral.